RNAcentral lists this ribosomal RNA (320 nucleotides) under uncultured gamma proteobacterium 400m-FREE-33. RNAcentral's name for it is "bacterial SSU rRNA". It matches the Rfam family "Bacterial small subunit ribosomal RNA", at positions 8 to 332 of the family's 1533-position model. Lineage: Bacteria; Pseudomonadati; Pseudomonadota; Gammaproteobacteria. The record is from RNAcentral.
AGAGUUUGAUCAUGGCUCAGAUUGAACGCUGGCGGCAGGCCUAACACAUGCAAGUCGAACGGUAACAUUUCUAGCUUGCUAGAAGAUGACAAGUGGCGGACGGGUGAGUAAUGCUUGGGAACUUGCCUUUGCGAGGGGGAUAACCGUUGGAAACCACUGCUAAUACCGCAUAACGUCUACGGACCAAACGGGGCUUAGGCUCCGGCGCCAAGAGAGGCCCCAGUGAGAUUAGCUACUUGGUAAGGUUAAGGCUUACCAAGGCAACGAUCUCUAGCUGUUCUGAGAGGAAGAUCUUCCACACUGGAACUGAGACACCGUCC